CGGCGGACGGGUGAGUAACACGUGGAUAACCUACCUAUAAGACUGGGAUAACUUCGGGAAACCGGAGCUAAUACCGGAUAAUAUAUUGAACCGCAUGGUUCAAUAGUGAAAGACGGUUUUGCUGUCACUUAUAGAUGGAUCCGCGCCGCAUUAGCUAGUUGGUAAGGUAACGGCUUACCAAGGCAACGAUGCGUAGCCGACCUGAGAGGGUGAUCGGCCACACUGGAACUGAUACACGGUCCAGACUCCUACGGGAGGCAGCAGGG
This 266-nucleotide ribosomal RNA is filed under the name uncultured Staphylococcus sp. RNAcentral's name for it is "partial 16S ribosomal RNA". It matches the Rfam family "Bacterial small subunit ribosomal RNA", at positions 96 to 354 of the family's 1533-position model. Lineage: Bacteria; Bacillati; Bacillota; Bacilli; Caryophanales; Staphylococcaceae. The record is from RNAcentral.